GACGAACGCUGGCGGCGUGCUUAACACACGCAAGUCGAACGGAAAGGCCCUGCUUUUGUGGGGUGCUCGAGUGGCGAACGGGUGAGUAACACGUGAGUAACCUGCCCUUGACUUUGGGAUAACUUCAGGAAACUGGGGCUACUACCGGAUAGGAGCUCCUGCUGCAUGGUGGGGGUUGGAAAGUUUCGGCGGUUGGGGAUGGACUCGCGGCUUAUCAGCUUGUUGGUGGGGUAGUGGCUUACCAAGGCUUUGACGGGUAGCCGGCCUGAGAGGGUGACCGGCCACAUUGGGACUGAGAUACGGCCCAGACUCCUACGGGAGGCAGCAGUGGGGAAUAUUGCACAAUGGGCGGAAGCCUGAUGCAGCAACGCCGCGUGCGGGAUGACGGCCUUCGGGUUGUAAACCGCUUUCGCCUGUGACGAAGCGUGAGUGACGGUAAUGGGUAAAGAAGCACCGGCUAACUACGUG
This 468-nucleotide ribosomal RNA is filed under the name uncultured bacterium. RNAcentral describes it as "partial 16S ribosomal RNA". It matches the Rfam family "Bacterial small subunit ribosomal RNA", at positions 28 to 507 of the family's 1533-position model. The record is from RNAcentral.